Molecule: long non-coding RNA, 1609 nt
Filed under: Homo sapiens (human)
Lineage: Eukaryota; Metazoa; Chordata; Mammalia; Primates; Hominidae
Description: HSALNT0357859
Source: RNAcentral
GUUCUAUAAAGGAAACUUCCCUAGAAAGAAACCACUUCUAAAUGGAAUAAUUAAAAUAAUUUGUUAGAAACUUUAAGUUACCCUAUGAGCUCCUAGUAACACUGUUUUCAAGCUCAUAGGUUAAUUGUUAAGCCCUUUUGCUCCGAGUUGAACUGAUCAAAUGGCUCUGUGUAAAAGGUAACAGUGUAGAAUCCUCUUUGAGAAAUAGCAUGUAAACUUGGGAGAAAUGGCCUAAGCCCACGGUUCUCAAGUCACUGAGACAGUUGAAAAAGCCCCCUCAGGUGGUGAGAAUGGGAUAAUAUUUUAUUAUAUCUCUAAGAUGCCUCAAAUCCAAAGAGAUAAUUAAAUUUGGAAUUUUAUUAGUUUCACCUAAUAGUUGUAUAAAAGCUGAAUAUUUAAGGAUCUCCUUUAUCAGGCACUGAGAUGCUUUGUAUACAUUACUUCAUUUAGUUUUCACAAUAGUCCUAAGAGGUGGAGGUAUUUUUGACCCUGUUUUAUAGUUGAAGAACAGGCUCAGUAAGGUUAUAUUACCUGCUCCAAAUUUCACAGCUAGUUAAUUUAGUUUAUGUUGGAAGUUAGCAUUUAAGGUUGGUUAUUUUUCCUAUGUGGCUCCAAUUGCUCCUAAAAUGGUGUUGAUUUUUCUGUUUAAAAUGAUCCAGAGGAGGUUCUUGGUUCAAAGCAGAUUUUUAAGUGAUUUAAAAGUGCCUCAUUGUCCCAGCGCCAAAUUAUCAAAGUUCAAGGAAUUAUGCAUUUACUCUAGAAGGCUACGGCUUUCAAAUAUUAACUGAGAAAGCCCUACUCUUAAUGAGCUCGUUAAUGCACAUGGCCGCCUUAGUGUUGCUGAACUCCGGUAACUUUCUUCUGCUUUUUUUCUGAAGACCUUUUAAUUCAGGGUGUGCAUUUUCCUCUUGCGUGUCACAAGUGCUAUUCAGGCUUUCUCUAGUUGAAUCCCCUGUUUGUGAGUGCAUACCUGCAGUAUUUUAUAUGCUAAGUGAAAUAUUUUUAAAUUUACGUUAGCACCUAGAUUAGCGUUGAACCUGUUUUAAGAAUGGCAGAGUCUUGCUCUGUUGCCCAGGCUGGAGUGCAGCAUCAUGAUCUCGACUCACUGCAACCUCAAGCAGUCUUCCCACCUCAGCCUGCUGAGUAGCUGAGACUACAGCAUUUUCUACAGACAAAAAUUAACAAACAUCAUGUCAGCUAGCAAAUGGAAAAUACUUACAGGGCUCAGAUCCCCUUUUGCAAAUCAGGCUGUAAAUGGUGAAUUUGUAGCUGAGAGGCAGUAAAUUGAUAACUGACACAGGGAGAAAAACAAGACCACCCUUCUUCUCAGAGCCUUUAUUAUUAUUUUUUUCAACAAGGUAAUUGCACAUGUAUGUGUAUGUGUGUGUGUAUAUAUAUAUUUAGGUGGGGUUUUCCUUCCAGUAGUACUUCAUCAUUUUCCUUAGAAUGCUCACAUUUUUGUGGUUUUAUUACCUGUGCUAUUCAUAGUGACAUCACUAGGGGACUUUUGAGGAUUAAGUAUUUUAGUUUUACUGUUCAUCUCUUAAACCUUGGAUAAAUACAUGAAUAUUAAUGAGUUGGAGCCACAUUUUUGAAAUGACAUUCAGCU